This 218-nucleotide long non-coding RNA is filed under the name Elaeis guineensis (African oil palm). RNAcentral's name for it is "long non-coding RNA (EGUI_LNC063056)". The record is from RNAcentral. Lineage: Eukaryota; Viridiplantae; Streptophyta; Magnoliopsida; Arecales; Arecaceae.
CAUCUCUUCACCUCCACCAGAAGUCCAUCUUCAAUCUCUAAAAAAAAUUUAAAAAUUUGAAGAAAGGAUCCAGAUCAGCUAAGAAGAUGGUCUUCUCAUGAGCUAGUACUCCCGAGAAGACCGAUCAGAUCGAGGCUUCAAGUAAACUUUCCAUAAAAGCUGGAUGCAUGUGCAACCAUGAGCAGCCAGUAAGCAUCAUCUUCACUAUAUCUCUCAAU